Molecule: ribosomal RNA, 203 nt
Filed under: uncultured bacterium
Lineage: Bacteria
Description: partial 16S ribosomal RNA
Source: RNAcentral
GGUCUGUGUGUGUGGCACGCAGAGCGCGGGGAUAGACGCGGGGCGCGGCGGGCGAAGCGUGUAUGAAGAAGGCCUUCUUGGUUGUAAAGUACUUUCUAUAGGGAGGAAGGUGUUGUGGUUAAUAACCACAGCAAUUGACGUUACCCGCAGAAGAAGCACCGGCUAACUCCUUGCCAGCAGCCGCGGUAAUUUUUCUAAUAAUC